UGCAGUCGAGCGAAUGGAUUAAGAGCUUGCUCUUAUGAAGUUAGCGGCGGACGGGUGAGUAACACGUGGGUAACCUACCCAUAAGACUGGGAUAACUCCGGGAAACCGGGGCUAAUACCGGAUAAUAUUUUGAACUGCAUAGUUCGAAAUUGAAAGGCGGCUUCGGCUGUCACUUAUGGAUGGACCCGCGUCGCAUUAGCUAGUUGGUGAGGUAACGGCUCACCAAGGCGACGAUGCGUAGCCGACCUGAGAGGGUGAUCGGCCACACUGGGACUGAGACACGGCCCAGACUCCUACGGGAGGCAGCAGUAGGGAAUCUUCCGCAAUGGACGAAAGUCUGACGGAGCAACGCCGCGUGAG
Molecule: ribosomal RNA, 360 nt
Filed under: Bacillus sp. SL2-2
Lineage: Bacteria; Bacillati; Bacillota; Bacilli; Caryophanales; Bacillaceae
Description: bacterial SSU rRNA
Rfam family: Bacterial small subunit ribosomal RNA
Source: RNAcentral